UCCUCAGUCCUCUCUGCUUCUGCCCUGGCCCCUCUUGGGCUGUUCACAGCACAGCAGCUGUUGCCACCCUGUUAAUGCUCCCACUCUCCUACAGCCUUUGGUCUUGCCCCAGGUAGGAGCCUGAGGCUGCACAGAGGUCAGCACGGCCCCGCUUACCCUGCCCUCCCAGCCCAGCUGCACGGGCCUUGCUGCACACAUGCCUCGGCAUAUUCCUGCCUUAGGGCUGGUGCUCCUGCUAUUUCCUCUUCCCAGGUAACCAUGUGAAGUGCCUCCCUCUGCCCUCUUUCCAGCCUUUACUUGAGUGUCACCUUCUCAGUGAGGCCUGCCCUCAUUCCUCUUUUGCUGUUUGCAACCCAUCUCCUGUCCCCCUUCCCAGAACUCCCUUUACUACUUCAUUUUUCUUCACAGUACUUGAUACUGCCUAACACAUUCCAUGGUUUCUUACUUGCCCUGUUUAUUAUUUUCCCCCAAUAGACAGAAUGUUCCAUGAUGGCAGAAUUCUCUGUUUUGUUUCCUUCCAUGUCCCCAGCACCUAGAACAGUGCCUGACGCAUCUCCUAAGCAAUACGACCAAUAAGUAUGUGUCUGGCUGCUUUCCGGCUGCCAGUGUCUGCCUCUUUCCUAGGGGGAGUGGUUGUGGGGGUGCUUUCUCACAUGUCUUAGUAGGCUGUGCAGGCUGGAAGUGCUCAGAAGUCACACCCCCAGGGAGCAGCCUCAGCCAACAGCACCUUGGGUAUAAAUGCCCCAGCUCCCUCGCCCUCAGGUAAGCAUUGCUGAGGCACACAUUCCAUACUCUUUUCCACAGUUCCUCCGUGGGACUGAGCACCAUCCAGCCACCCACAGGAGCAGCUAACCUGAUAACCACCAGCCUCACCCUCCCUGCCUUACUUCCCCGCUCCCCUUUACCACAUGCUGACCUCCCAGAUGCAUUUCUUGCUUUCCAGUCUCUGUCUCAGAAUUGGCUCCUGGAUGAACACAAACUAACGCUAUGUUCACAAAUAUAUUUGGGAAAUGCUGGAUGAAUAAUUAUACACAUCAGACAGAUUACUAGAAAUGCUCACCAAAGGGAUGCACAUGUUACCUCUGCAUGGUGAGAUCUCAGGUGCUUUUUACCCCACAUAGCUAUCCUUUGGCAUUUUUAUAAUUAGCAAGUGCUCACUCUUCCACUGUCAGUACAUUCUCAUUCUUCUUGGGCGCUGGACAAGAAUUCAACCGGUGUGUAAGCCAGACUGGGCCCAGGCAGUCUCAAACUCCUGACUCCUUAUAUAAUUUCUAGAAAAAUUAUAAAGCUGUUUCCCACUCCCCACCCCACAUUCAUGUAACCUGAAGCAUGAGUAAACCAAGAAUGAGGUAGGCCUCUGUCUUCUAAGCAACAUCAGAACUCUAAGAACAUGAGGGACUCUUAGAAAACUCUCUGGAGCUAACUACAGUUGGGUCACUGCUCAUGUACUGAAGACCAGCCAGAGGGUUCCCCUGAAAAGGAGGGAAACUGAGCAAACAUUCUCCAGUUCUCUUAGUGUGCACAUGUUUCAGGAGGUGUGAACCCCACAUGUAGCUUGUGUAGGCAAGAAGACAAAUAGUGCUACUGUCUGGUCAAGGAUUUGUUUGAAGAGCCAUGAUUAUGCCCAUAUGGUAAGCUACCAGUGCUCCCCAUCCCUGUAAGACACUUCUUUCUCAUUAUUUUCUCCUCUGAUGGUGUGCCAGGAUGCUGGCCAAGAGAAGCCAAGUGGAAAGAAGGCUGUUCAGUGACAAGGAACCUAAGACUUAGUGCCAAGGACUGAAACCAAGUAAACUUGUAAUUUUCCAUGAUGGAAACAUCUACACUUUCUCAUUAGUGGCCUCUACAGCAGUUGCCCCAAAGAAGCGUCUCAUUGUUUUUUUACUACAUUUAUGUGAAGCAUACAGGCAAACUCAGAAAGACUGUGAUAAGGCUCGCCAGAGAUGCCUGCACAGGUGCUGGGGGAAAAGCAGGACCAUCCUGAAGGGAGAUGGUGUCUGUGGACAAAGAACUCUGCAGUGGUUCUUAUUUGCAUGAUUUCUGCUGGUGGAGGCUGUAAAUGUGAGCUCAAACUCCCACAUAAGUGAGUUUUCGUUGUAAUCCAGAAUGUUUUUAAAUCACCCUACUUCUAUUGAACUUGCACUAUCAUCUGUUAACCUCUACUGUAUUUAUUAAAUAAACCUGAAUAGGUAAAUCACAGUACAGCAAAAGGUUCUGUGUUCCCCAGAAUUCUAGUCAAACUCCAAAUUCCUGAAAAGGCUCUAGUCCUUUCCUAUAUGUCAAAUUUAAAUGAUAAGUUUUCAUUUUGGAACAUAAAGAGGGAUUUUGAAGACCACAGCAUAGCCCUGGGUUUUUGCAUAGAGAUAAUAAACAGACAAUCUCUUUUCAGACUGA
RNAcentral lists this small RNA (2391 nucleotides) under Pan troglodytes (chimpanzee). RNAcentral's name for it is "sense overlapping". The record is from RNAcentral. Lineage: Eukaryota; Metazoa; Chordata; Mammalia; Primates; Hominidae.